AAUCAAUGAACUUGAAUAAGUUUUUGUUUUGAAAACAAAAUAUAGAAAUUUAAAUUUUCUAUUGAUUU
RNAcentral lists this transfer RNA (68 nucleotides) under Dilophus febrilis. Its description in RNAcentral is "tRNA-Ser". Lineage: Eukaryota; Metazoa; Arthropoda; Insecta; Diptera; Bibionidae. The record is from RNAcentral.